This 1085-nucleotide ribosomal RNA is filed under the name Citrobacter sp. wls827. RNAcentral's name for it is "partial 23S ribosomal RNA". It matches the Rfam family "Bacterial large subunit ribosomal RNA", at positions 1762 to 2839 of the family's 2925-position model. Lineage: Bacteria; Pseudomonadati; Pseudomonadota; Gammaproteobacteria; Enterobacterales; Enterobacteriaceae. The record is from RNAcentral.
UGGAGCUGAAAUCAGUCGAAGAUACCAGCUGGCUGCAACUGUUUAUUAAAAACACAGCACUGUGCAAACACGAAAGUGGACGUAUACGGUGUGACGCCUGCCCGGUGCCGGAAGGUUAAUUGAUGGGGUUAUCCGUAAGGAGAAGCUCUUGAUCGAAGCCCCGGUAAACGGCGGCCGUAACUAUAACGGUCCUAAGGUAGCGAAAUUCCUUGUCGGGUAAGUUCCGACCUGCACGAAUGGCGUAAUGAUGGCCAGGCUGUCUCCACCCGAGACUCAGUGAAAUUGAACUCGCUGUGAAGAUGCAGUGUACCCGCGGCAAGACGGAAAGACCCCGUGAACCUUUACUAUAGCUUGACACUGAACACUGGUCCUUGAUGUGUAGGAUAGGUGGGAGGCUUUGAAGUGUGGACGCCAGUCUGCAUGGAGCCAACCUUGAAAUACCACCCUUUAAUGGCUGGUGUUCUAACGUGGACCCGUGAUCCGGGUUGCGGACAGUGUCUGGUGGGUAGUUUGACUGGGGCGGUCUCCUCCUAAAGAGUAACGGAGGAGCACGAAGGUUAGCUAAUCCUGGUCGGACAUCAGGAGGUUAGUGCAAAGGCAUAAGCUAGCUUGACUGCGAGAGUGACGGCUCGAGCAGGUGCGAAAGCAGGUCUUAGUGAUCCGGUGGUUCUGAAUGGAAGGGCCAUCGCUCAACGGAUAAAAGGUACUCCGGGGAUAACAGGCUGAUACCGCCCAAGAGUUCAUAUCGACGGCGGUGUUUGGCACCUCGAUGUCGGCUCAUCACAUCCUGGGGCUGAAGUAGGUCCCAAGGGUAUGGCUGUUCGCCAUUUAAAGUGGUACGCGAGCUGGGUUUAGAACGUCGUGAGACAGUUCGGUCCCUAUCUGCCGUGGGCGCUGGAGAAUUGAGGGGGGCUGCUCCUAGUACGAGAGGACCGGAGUGGACGCAUCACUGGUGUUCGGGUUGUCAUGCCAAUGGCAUUGCCCGGUAGCUAAAUGCGGAAGAGAUAAGUGCUGAAAGCAUCUAAGCACGAAACUUGCCCCGAGAUGAGUUCUCCCUGAGACUAUAAGUCUCCUGAAGGAACGUU